This 508-nucleotide ribosomal RNA is filed under the name uncultured bacterium. RNAcentral's name for it is "partial 16S ribosomal RNA". It matches the Rfam family "Bacterial small subunit ribosomal RNA", at positions 28 to 523 of the family's 1533-position model. The record is from RNAcentral.
GAUGAACGCUAGCUACAGGCUUAACACAUGCAAGUCGAGGGGAAACGAUAUUGGAAGCUUGCUUCCGAUAGGCGUCGACCGGCGCACGGGUGAGUAACGCGUAUCCAACCUGCCCACCACUUGGGGAUAACCUUGCGAAAGUAAGACUAAUACCCAAUGAUAUCUCUAGAAGACAUCUGAAGGAGAUUAAAGAUUUAUCGGUGAUGGAUGGGGAUGCGUCUGAUUAGCUUGUUGGCGGGGUAACGGCCCACCAAGGCGACGAUCAGUAGGGGUUCUGGGAGGAAGGUCCACCACAUUGGAACUGAGACACGGUCCAAACUCCUACGGGAGGCAGCAGUGAGGAAUAUUGGUCAAUGGACGAGAGUCUGAACCAGCCAAGUAGCGUGCAGGAUGACGGCCCUAUGGGUUGUAAACUGCUUUUAUAAGGGAAUAAAGUGAGCCUCGUGAGGCUUUUUGCAUGUACCUUAUGAAUAAGGACCGGCUAAUUCCGUGCCAGCCGCCGCUGUAA